UCCCAUACAAUGGCCCCCGACAUACUACUAUUCCUUUAAUGGCUGGCUCCUUUCGUGCAGCUUUUUUGUCCAUAAUUUAAUGCCUGCUAUGCAAAUUGAAGCUUAUUUCAAGACUGAUACCUCACAAUCAUUCAGAUAAUGUACAACAAGUUCUGUUUUUGAUUUGAUCCUAUCAAAACUUUUCUUGAACCUCUGCGACAGGUCUUUCCCCCCAUCCCUUGGGCUCAACACAGGUCUUUCACUACUCACUACAUAUGUCUUCUUUACAAACAUUAUAUAUCUAUGGCAGCUCAAAGCUAAAAACUGCUUGUUAAUCACUUAACUAACUAGUCUUGCACCAUUGAACCAUCUCUUUUCCUCAGGGACUUCGUGUGGCGAGGAAAUUCAUGCAAAUCGGAGGAUUGACCUUCGCCAAAGCAAGGAUCGACGAGGGAAGAAUCCACAAGCCAUCUCCACAUAUC
Molecule: long non-coding RNA, 461 nt
Filed under: Panax ginseng (ginseng)
Lineage: Eukaryota; Viridiplantae; Streptophyta; Magnoliopsida; Apiales; Araliaceae
Description: long non-coding RNA (PGIN_LNC007678)
Source: RNAcentral